GACGAACGCUGGCGGCGUGCCUAACACAUGCAAGUCGAGCGGGGUUGAAGCGAGGGGUAACUCGAGUUUCUACCUAGCGGCGGACGGGUGAGUAACGCGUGGGCAACCUGCCUCAAGGACUGGGAUAACAGCUCGAAAGGGCUGCUAAUACCGGAUAAGCCUAUGGCCUCGCAUGGGGCCAUGAGCAAAGGGGAAACCCGCCUUGAGAUGGGCCCGCGUCCCAUCAGCUAGUUGGUGAGGUGAAGGCUCACCAAGGCGACGACGGGUAGCCGGCCUGAGAGGGUGACCGGCCACACUGGGACUGAGACACGGCCCAGACUCCUACGGGGGCAGCAGUGGGGAAUCUUGCACAAUGGGCGAAAGCCUGAUGCAGCGACGCCGCGUGAGCGAAGAAGGCCUUCGGGUGUAAAGCUCUGUCUGGAGGACGAAGGAAGUGACGGUACCUCCGGAGGAGCCACGGCUAACUACGUGCCAGCAGCCGCGGUAAAAUCACGUGUACUA
Molecule: ribosomal RNA, 501 nt
Filed under: uncultured bacterium
Lineage: Bacteria
Description: bacterial SSU rRNA
Rfam family: Bacterial small subunit ribosomal RNA
Source: RNAcentral